Molecule: ribosomal RNA, 584 nt
Filed under: Penicillium turbatum
Lineage: Eukaryota; Fungi; Ascomycota; Eurotiomycetes; Eurotiales; Aspergillaceae
Description: eukaryotic LSU rRNA
Rfam family: 5.8S ribosomal RNA (bases 205-358)
Source: RNAcentral
UCCGUAGGUGAACCUGCGGAAGGAUCAUUACUGAGUGAGGGCCCUCUGGGUCCAACCUCCCACCCGUGUUUAUUGUACCUUGUUGCUUCGGCGGGCCCGCCUUUAUGGCCGCCGGGGGGCUCACGCCCCCGGGCCCGCGCCCGCCGAAGACACCUCGAACUCUGUCUGAAGAUUGUAGUCUGAGUGAAAAUAUAAAUUAUUUAAAACUUUCAACAACGGAUCUCUUGGUUCCGGCAUCGAUGAAGAACGCAGCGAAAUGCGAUACGUAAUGUGAAUUGCAGAAUUCAGUGAAUCAUCGAGUCUUUGAACGCACAUUGCGCCCCCUGGUAUUCCGGGGGGCAUGCCUGUCCGAGCGUCAUUGCUGCCCUCAAGCACGGCUUGUGUGUUGGGCCCCGUCCUCCGAUUCCGGGGGACGGGCCCGAAAGGCAGCGGCGGCACCGCGUCCGGUCCUCGAGCGUAUGGGGCUUUGUCACCCGCUCUGUAGGCCCGGCCGGCGCUUGCCGAUCAACCCAAAUUUUUAUCCAGGUUGACCUCGGAUCAGGUAGGGAUACCCGCUGAACUUAAGCAUAUCAAUAAGCGGAGGA